AGCAGCCGCGGUAAUUCCAGCUCCAAUAGCGUAUAUUAAAGUUGUUGCAGUUAAAAAGCUCGUAGUUGAAUUUCGGGAUCAGUACGCUGGUCGUGCCUUUGGUAUGUACUGGUGUCACUGAUUCCUCCCUUCUGAAGAACCGUUAUGCCAUUUAUUUAGUGUGGCGGGGAAUCAGGACUGUUACUUUGAAAAAAUUAGAGUGUUUAAAGCAGGCUCGCGCUUGAAUACAUUAGCAUGGAAUAAUGAAAUAGGACGUUUGAUCUUAUUUUGUUGGUUUCUAGGAUCGACGUAAUGAUUAAUAGGGAUAGUUGGGAGCAUUAGUAUUCAAUUGUCGGAGGUGAAAUUUCU
Molecule: ribosomal RNA, 348 nt
Filed under: uncultured Glomeromycotina
Lineage: Eukaryota; Fungi; Glomeromycota
Description: SSU rRNA
Rfam family: Eukaryotic small subunit ribosomal RNA
Source: RNAcentral